UACGGGGGGGACAAACGUUGUUCGGAUUUACUGGGCGUAAAGGGCGUGUAGGUGGACUUUUAAGUCGGUUGUGAAAUCCCGGGGCUUAACCCCGGGUCUGCAUUCGAUACUAUUGGUCUUGAGUGCGAGAGAGGAAAGCGGAAUUCCAGGUGUAGCGGUGGAAUGCGUAGAUAUCUGGAAGAACACCGGUGGCGAAGGCGGCUUUCUGGCUCGACACUGACGCUGAGGCGCGAAGGCCGGGGGAGCAAAC
Molecule: ribosomal RNA, 250 nt
Filed under: uncultured bacterium
Lineage: Bacteria
Description: partial 16S ribosomal RNA
Rfam family: Bacterial small subunit ribosomal RNA
Source: RNAcentral